AGAGUUUGAUCCUGGCUCAGGAUGAACGCUGGCGGCGUGCCUAAUACAUGCAAGUCGAGCGAACGGACGAGAAGCUUGCUUCUCUGAUGUUAGCGGCGGACGGGUGAGUAACACGUGGAUAACCUACCUAUAAGACUGGGAUAACUUCGGGAAACCGGAGCUAAUACCGGAUAAUAUUUUGAACCGCAUGGUUCAAAAGUGAAAGACGGUCUUGCUGUCACUUAUAGAUGGAUCCGCGCUGCAUUAGCUAGUUGGUAAGGUAACGGCUUACCAAGGCAACGAUGCAUAGCCGACCUGAGAGGGUGAUCGGCCACACUGGAACUGAGACACGGUCCAGACUCCUACGGGAGGCAGCAGUAGGGAAUCUUCCGCAAUGGGCGAAAGCCUGACGGAGCAACGCCGCGUGAGUGAUGAAGGUCUUCGGAUCGUAAAACUCUGUUAUUAGGGAAGAACAUAUGUGUAAGUAACUGUGCACAUCUUGACGGUACCUAAUCAGAAAGCCACGGCUAACUACGUGCCAGCAGCCGCGGUAAUACGUAGGUGGCAAGCGUUAUCCGGAAUUAUUGGGCGUAAAGCGCGCGUAGGCGGUUUUUUAAGUCUGAUGUGAAAGCCCACGGCUCAACCGUGGAGGGUCAUUGGAACUGGAAAACUUGAGUGCAGAAGAGGAAAGUGGAAUUCCAUGUGUAGCGGUGAAAUGCGCAGAGAUAUGGAGGAACACCAGUGGCGAAGGCGACUUUCUGGUCUGUAACUGACGCUGAUGUGCGAAAGCGUGGGGAUCAAACAGGAUUAGAUACCCUGGUAGUCCACGCCGUAAACGAUGAGUGCUAAGUGUUAGGGGGUUUCCGCCCCUUAGUGCUGCAGCUAACGCAUUAAGCACUCCGCCUGGGGAGUACGACCGCAAGGUUGAAACUCAAAGGAAUUGACGGGGACCCGCACAAGCGGUGGAGCAUGUGGUUUAAUUCGAAGCAACGCGAAGAACCUUACCAAAUCUUGACAUCCUUUGACAACUCUAGAGAUAGAGCCUUCCCCUUCGGGGGACAAAGUGACAGGUGGUGCAUGGUUGUCGUCAGCUCGUGUCGUGAGAUGUUGGGUUAAGUCCCGCAACGAGCGCAACCCUUAAGCUUAGUUGCCAUCAUUAAGUUGGGCACUCUAAGUUGACUGCCGGUGACAAACCGGAGGAAGGUGGGGAUGACGUCAAAUCAUCAUGCCCCUUAUGAUUUGGGCUACACACGUGCUACAAUGGACAAUACAAAGGGCAGCGAAACCGCGAGGUCAAGCAAAUCCCAUAAAGUUGUUCUCAGUUCGGAUUGUAGUCUGCAACUCGACUACAUGAAGCUGGAAUCGCUAGUAAUCGUAGAUCAGCAUGCUACGGUGAAUACGUUCCCGGGUCUUGUACACACCGCCGUCACACCACGAGAGUUUGUAACACCCGAAGCCGGUGGAGUAACCUUUUAGGAGCUAGCCGUCGAAGGUGGGACAAAUGAUUGGGGUGAAGUCGUAACAAGGUAGCCGUAUCGGAAGGUGCGGCUGGAUCACCU
RNAcentral lists this ribosomal RNA (1538 nucleotides) under Staphylococcus aureus. Its description in RNAcentral is "16S ribosomal RNA". It matches the Rfam family "Bacterial small subunit ribosomal RNA". Lineage: Bacteria; Bacillati; Bacillota; Bacilli; Caryophanales; Staphylococcaceae. The record is from RNAcentral.